ACCCUUGCACACCCCAUGCCCCCGCCCUAUAUUCGCCCUGUCCGGAGCAAUCCGGACUAUGGGCAUAAACGCGCUCGUCAUAAGCGGAUCGGACCCGGGGGCGGUACCCGGCGGCUCCACCAAAACUCCCUCGUUGGGGGCGGAGGGGGCCGAAACAGGAUCGACGAACGUCUAAAGGGGUUGCUUUGUCCCGGUGAGGUACCACCGUUAUCGGUCCGAAAAGUACAGUUGCCAACGACAACCGUGCUCCGAUGGCUCUGGCUGCGUAAGCAGUUCGAGCGAUCGAAACUUAAGCCCUUGCGCUUAGCCGCGUAAGGCGGGGUUCGCAGGUACCUGGCAACAGAAACCUGCACU
Molecule: transfer-messenger RNA, 354 nt
Filed under: Cereibacter ovatus
Lineage: Bacteria; Pseudomonadati; Pseudomonadota; Alphaproteobacteria; Rhodobacterales; Paracoccaceae
Description: Rhodobacter ovatus Alphaproteobacteria transfer-messenger RNA
Rfam family: Alphaproteobacteria transfer-messenger RNA
About the family: Bacterial tmRNA, also known as 10Sa RNA or SsrA, is named for its dual tRNA and mRNA-like properties.
Source: Rfam by way of RNAcentral